RNAcentral lists this unclassified non-coding RNA (348 nucleotides) under soil metagenome. RNAcentral describes it as "partial contains 5.8S ribosomal RNA, internal transcribed spacer 2, and large subunit ribosomal RNA". The stretch from base 1 to 120 matches the Rfam family "5.8S ribosomal RNA", at positions 35 to 154 of the family's 154-position model. The record is from RNAcentral.
GAUGAAGAACGCAGCGAAAUGCGAUAAGUAAUGUGAAUUGCAGAAUUCAGUGAAUCAUCGAAUCUUUGAACGCACAUUGCGCCCGCCAGUAUUCUGGCGGGCAUGCCUGUCUGAGCGUCAUUUCAACCCUCAUGCCCCUAGGGCGUGGUGUUGGGGAUCGGCCAAAGCCCGCGAGGGACGGCCGGCCCCUAAAUCUAGUGGCGGACCCGUCGUGGCCUCCUCUGCGAAGUAGUGAUAUUCCGCAUCGGAGAGCGACGAGCCCCUGCCGUUAAACCCCCAACUUUCCAAGGUUGACCUCCGAUCAGGUAGGAAUACCCGCUGAACUUAAGCAUAUCAAUAAGCGGAGGA